AUCACAAACUCAAUUCUCCAAUCACAUGUAAACAAAAAUUCAAAACCCCUUUCUUCAGAUUCUCAACGUUCAUUCUCACUUUCCCCAUCUCAUUCUCAACACAAAUUCUCACAUUCACCAUCUCAUUCUCAACACAGAUUCUCACUUUCACCAUCUCAUUGUCAACACAAAGCUCUCCUUCGAGGUUUUCCGCCGAAAUCGGACCCAGCAACUCCCCCCAUCGCAAGAAACGUAAGCGGCGAGCAUCCAAGAAGAAGAAGAAACCUCUCGAUCCCGUUGAUUCCGUCGAUGAUUCAUGCGAUUCAUAUCAGAAGAAUGAAUUGCCGAUUGUAAAUGGACGAGCAUGUAACGUUUUUGGGAUUGGCGGAAUGAGGUAUUGCGGUAAUGGAGGAAGCUAUUGA
This is a non-coding RNA of Vicia faba (fava bean), 401 nucleotides long. Lineage: Eukaryota; Viridiplantae; Streptophyta; Magnoliopsida; Fabales; Fabaceae. The record is from the annotation of a GenBank genome assembly.